UAAGAUGGCUGAAAUAGUGGUGGAUUGUAGUUCCAUGUAUGUAGGUUUAAAUCCUGCUCUUGC
Molecule: transfer RNA, 63 nt
Filed under: Melanorivulus punctatus
Lineage: Eukaryota; Metazoa; Chordata; Actinopteri; Cyprinodontiformes; Rivulidae
Description: tRNA-Tyr
Rfam family: tRNA
About the family: Transfer RNA (tRNA) molecules are approximately 80 nucleotides in length.
Source: RNAcentral